Long non-coding RNA from Planococcus citri (citrus mealybug), 2330 nucleotides. RefSeq lists it as uncharacterized. The transcript is spliced from 3 exons. The record is from RefSeq and is a predicted model, not a curated record. NCBI's taxonomy places the organism in Eukaryota, Metazoa, Arthropoda, Insecta, Hemiptera, Pseudococcidae.
CGAUGUGUUGUCAGUUUUUAUUCUGGUACAAUAUAAGAACCAUGUUUGAUGGUUAAAAAUAUGAAGUACGCUCAUGUAACUUAUUGUGUUCGCGAGUGAAAAGAUCGAAUUAGAUAACAAAAUUUUAAGUUAAUUUUUAAACAGAUAAAAGCAUAAUUUUUAAUCUCGCGAGUGAUGCUUGGUGCGAUAUCGAUAGAUGGAACUGGAAAAUGCUUCUGUAUUACAUGUGUACCUAUUUACCUACCUGUCCAGUGCCCACGACGACAGAAGAAUCCAACAUACAACUAUAGGUACCUACCUAUGAAACAUCAUCUUGAUUCGUAAAAUGUUGGCACAUACAUAUGAAUUGAUAUAAGAAGAGAAGUUACAAUCUCUCAAUCCAGGAAAAAGUGGAUCUCAUCAUGGAAUCAAAACAUCAUGCCAAGUACGGAUAGGUUGGUAUACUUAGGUCCCUCGCUGACAUAAACUUCAGGUACCUAUUCAUGCAUCAAAGAGGAAAUAAAUUUCUGGAAGUGAGGCUGCAUUGCAUUACUUUGCAGAUCUAAUACCUUCGAUCCUUUCCUUUCUAAAACGUUACGAUAAUGUUACACCUAAAAAGCAUAUACGUACAAAUGUAGUUUAUCUUUCGAGAUAGGAAAAAAAGAUAUCAAAAUUCAAACGUCGUCUAGCCGGUUAUUCACGUCGCUAUAUAUAGGUAAAUACCCGACGACAAUGCGGAAAUACAUCACACGACACAUAAGGUACCCAGCAGCAUCCUCUCAGACAACACAGAAGGACAUCGACAGGUACAAGAAGUAGUAGCCGCGACCGACAACAACAACGAACACACAAAAUAGAAUGCAGAAGAAGACUUGGAAAAAACCGCAAAUUGUUAAAAUUUACAUGAAAGAGCAGCAUCCCCGAUAAAAGGUCGUCUUUCUUUGAUCUGUUCUGUAGGUAAAGGUAUGGUCUAUAUAGCAAAAUUGUCCGCAACAUCGUUACGAUUAUGUAACAUCUUACUCAGCUAACACGGUAAUCGUAUUGUCACAUUGUAAAAGCUGGGUGACAUAAAUGGUUCGAAAAAUGCUAAAGGCCGGAAGUUGAUUUGUCAAAAUACAAUGGACGUUCGAACGUACGUGUGUGAUCGGUUUUUACGUAAAAUAAAACCAGAGAAAAGUACCGCGAACAAGAACAUUGUUAGCUUUGGGUCGCCGCCUACAUUGUUAAUACGUAUAGGCCUUUUUACAAAAACCCCAGCCUAAGGGGCGGAAGUACGCUAAAAGGCACGUGGUGCAUGUAUGUAUUUUUUUUCCAAAACAUAUGCCGCCUUAUAUUGUAAACCCCCUUUCUCAUCUCGCGCCCCCCACGCACACCUUCCCAUAUAAUUUAUCCAAAUUUUCAUUCGUUAACGAAUUUAUUAAAUUAUUAUCGUUUAAAUAUGGAUACUUAAUAGCUGACCACGCGUUUGUAGUGUGUACCCCCUUUUGUUUUCUUCCUCUUGUUGUUGGCGACUGCCGCUUACAGGUUAGGUUAUCCCCUAUCGACGACGAUAUUUUAAUUUCACUUCAUUUAUUUCUUAUUGGUUGGACUAUCAGCCGUAAUGAAUACGUUAGUAACGUUCAUAAGUACCACCUCUGUGUUUAUGUUUACACGCGAUCAUAUAAUACCAGAUUUUAUACAUUUAUUAAGGCGUAUACCGAAGUACCUACUUUUGUAUAUUUUUUUUCUUCACUAUUUUUCUUAUACUUAUAUAUUGUAAAUCGCCAACCAACUCACGAUAAUUAUCGUAAUGCAAUUUUUUUCAUGAAUUUUUUAAAACUUUUUAUAUUGCUACAUAAGACCACUCAUUUACUCACCUUUUAUUAUUCCAUUUUGUAAAAUACCUAAUCUAACUCUUUUUAAUGAUACCGAACGAAAACGAAAUUUAAAAUGGUAAUGUAAUGGAUGUAUUAUUAUCGUAGACGGUCAGCUAUAAAAUGCGAUACAUUUCAACUCGUACUUACGUAUUUAAACAUUUUUUUAUCGGUACGAGAUUUUCAUCUUUGCUAUGUAAUCGUACUGCACGCCACACGAGUACCUACCUACACACAUAGUAUAGGUAGACUAGAUGGAUUUCACCUCUUGGGGGUUAUUUUUUUCACAUCUAAGGGAAGGGUAGGUACCUGUAUGCAUCAUGAAAAUAUUAUUAUGGCGAUGUAGACAUUUUUUAUUUCUUCGAAAUCACGUAUACCAACCUCUCAAUAGUCAGCGAGUGACUGAGUAUUUCUAUACCUAAUGAGCACCUAUUUAAAAUGUAAAUUUUUCACGAAAAAAAUGUUAUUUAAUGUAGAAAAAUAUACACUCGUUGAAUU